RNAcentral lists this ribosomal RNA (399 nucleotides) under uncultured Alphaproteobacteria bacterium. RNAcentral's name for it is "bacterial SSU rRNA". It matches the Rfam family "Bacterial small subunit ribosomal RNA", at positions 9 to 426 of the family's 1533-position model. Lineage: Bacteria; Pseudomonadati; Pseudomonadota; Alphaproteobacteria. The record is from RNAcentral.
GAGUUUGAUCUUGGCUCAGAACGAACGCUGGCGGCAUGCCUAACACAUGCAAGUCGAACGGGAUCCGGACUUCGGUUCGGUGAGAGUGGCGGACGGGUGAGUAACGCGUGGGAACCUGCCCAGUGGUGGGGGAUAACUGCGGGAAACUGCAGCUAAUACCGCAUGAGCCCGAGAGGGGAAAGAUUUAUCGCCAUUGGAGGGGCCCGCGUUCGAUUAGGUAGUUGGUGAGGUAAUGGCUCACCAAGCCGACGAUCGAUAGCUGGUCUGAGAGGAUGAUCAGCCACACUGGGACUGAGAUACGGCCCAGACUCCUACGGGAGGCAGCAGUGGGGAAUAUUGGACAAUGGGGGCAACCCUGAUCCAGCAAUGCCGCGUGAGUGAUGAAGGCCUUCGGGUUGU